This 497-nucleotide ribosomal RNA is filed under the name uncultured bacterium. RNAcentral describes it as "partial 16S ribosomal RNA". It matches the Rfam family "Bacterial small subunit ribosomal RNA", at positions 28 to 507 of the family's 1533-position model. The record is from RNAcentral.
GAUGAACGCUGGCGGCGUGCCUAAUACAUGCAAGUCGAGCGAACAGAUAAGGAGCUUGCUCCUUUGACGUUAGCGGCGGACGGGUGAGUAACACGUGGGUAACCUACCUAUAAGACUGGGAUAACUUCGGGAAACCGGAGUUAAUACCGGAUAACAUUUGGAACCGCAUGGUUCUAAAGUGAAAGAUGGUUUUGCUAUCACUUAUAGAUGGACCCGCGCCGUAUUAGCUAGUUGGUAAGGUAACGGCUUACCAAGGCGACGAUACGUAGCCGACCUGAGAGGGUGAUCGGCCACGCGGGAGCUGAGACACGGUCCAGACUCCUACGGGAGGCAGCAGUAGGGAAUCGUCCGCAAUGGGCGAAAGCCUGACGGAGCAACGCCGCGUGAGUGAUGAAGGGGUUCGGCUCGUAAAACUCUGUUAUUAGGGAAGAACAAAUGUGUAAGUAACUGUGCACGUCUUGACGGUACCUAAUCAGAAAGCCACGGCUAACUACGUG